Molecule: ribosomal RNA, 546 nt
Filed under: Pholidobolus montium
Lineage: Eukaryota; Metazoa; Chordata; Lepidosauria; Squamata; Gymnophthalmidae
Description: partial 16S ribosomal RNA
Rfam family: Bacterial large subunit ribosomal RNA
Source: RNAcentral
AAAAACAUAGCCUUUAGCAUAAAGUAUUAAAGGUAACGCCUGCCCAGUGAUAAAUUAAACGGCCGCGGGAUCCUCCACCGUGCAAAGGUAGCAUAAUCACUUGUCCCCUAAAUAGUGACUAGUAUGAAUGGCCAAAUGAAGAUUUUACUGUCUCUUAUAGCCGAUCUAUGAAACUAAACUAUCAGUACAAAAGCUGAUAUAUUAACAUAAGACGAAAAGACCCUGUGGAACUUCAAGCACAACCCACCAUAAUGGCCCACCUGCUUUUAGUUGGGGCAACUUUGGAAAAAAACAAAACUUCCAAUAAAAUUAAAGAUUAACACAUCUAUAUAGUUAUAUACCCGACCCAACACCUGUUGAUCAAAGAACCAAGCUACCCCAGGGAUAACAGCGCCAUCCCCUCUUAGAGCCCAAAUCGACGAGCGGGGUUUACGACCUCGAUGUUGGAUCAGGGCCCCCAAACAGUGCAACAGCUGUUAACGGUUUGUUUGUUCAACAAUUAAAGCCCUACGUGAUCUGAGUUAAGACCGGAGCAAUCCAGGUCGG